GCCUAAGCACUACUACAGACCUUGUCCGCCAGAAAAUUACGAGCGAAAGCCUAAAACUCAAAAGACUUGACGGUGUCCCAACCUUCCUAGAGGAGCCUGUUUCAUAAUCGACAACCCACGAUAUACCUAACCCCCCUUAGAUUUUAAUUCAGCCUAUAUACCGCCGUCGUACAGCCUACCUUUUAAAAGAAUACAAGUAGGCCAAAUAGUAACACACUAGUAAGUCAGGUCAAGGUGUAGCUUAUAGGGCGGAGAAAAUGGGCUACAUUGUUUAUUUUAAACCACACGGACUUUAACCAGUUCCAUGAAAAAGAAAAUAAAGGCGGAUUUAGCAGUAAUUUAAACAAGAAUAUUUAAAUUAACACCAGCUCUGGGACAUGU
Molecule: ribosomal RNA, 381 nt
Filed under: Wilsonosaura josyi
Lineage: Eukaryota; Metazoa; Chordata; Lepidosauria; Squamata; Gymnophthalmidae
Description: partial 12S ribosomal RNA
Rfam family: Bacterial small subunit ribosomal RNA
Source: RNAcentral